Long non-coding RNA from Pseudophryne corroboree (corroboree frog), 1595 nucleotides. RefSeq lists it as uncharacterized. NCBI's taxonomy places the organism in Eukaryota, Metazoa, Chordata, Amphibia, Anura, Myobatrachidae. The transcript is spliced from 2 exons. The record is from RefSeq and is a predicted model, not a curated record.
CUAACACCACUGUUCAUGAAGUUGCAGCACAAGGCUUAACGAUUUGAAGAGUUCCCAAGUUUAAAGUUUGCUGUAUUAGUUCCUUUUUUCAUAAAUGGAGAAACUAUUUAGUUUUGUGAUUGUUAUGCUGUUAUAUCCAUAUCUAGUCAGCAAUACUCCUAUGGAUCGCAGCGAGGCAGAUGUAAUAUCUGUAGCCAGUGCGACUGGGGAUAGCCCUAACCAUAUUCCGUCCAUAAAAGAUUUAUUUUGGGCAAAAGGAAACCUUUUCUGCCGCCAGCUCUUAAAGGAUUGCACAGAAUACGUUGACCUCCUCCCUCCAGCCUCAUCACAGCUUACAAAACCAGCAAUGGCAUUGGGAUUAAUGCAGGUUGGCUGCUUAGCUGAAACAGACCAGUUUUAUUUGGAUUUGCUAAGGGAUGAAGACACAAGAAAGAUGUUUCACUUGUUAACUGAGCUGUUCCAAACCUCUACACACUAAACUCCUGGCCAACGUCACCAUAGACAAAAGCAUGUUCUUGAGCUUGACUUACUGAAGUACAACUUAGAAUCUCUGUUUCCCGCUGCUAUGUCUACACAUCAUCAGCACUGCUCUGGUUUCCAGCAGGGGCGCACAAAUGUUUUCUUGAAUGGUUUGGACCUUGGGUUACAUUCAUCUCUACAGGAGGCAAAAGAGCACUGUGAUAGGGUGGGUCCUUCCUGUGCGGGUGUUUCUCAAGAUGGAAAGGGAGAAUUUCACAGUGUAACAAGAUAUGGUGGGUAUAUUAUGCCUCAGAAUGGAACAAGGUUGUGGCUGCAACAGUGUACUGCUGAACAUCGAAGAAGGCGUUCCUCUGAUCCCGAGUGCCAUAGUGAGAGAGAAUUGCGCAUCUAUAAUGUUAUGCAGUGGGUUCCAGUUGUCAGUGGCUGGUACAAUGCUGGAAGUGCCAUUUACUAUGCCACACAGGGAUGUGCAGUGCAAGCUGAGAACCGGGGAAUUGAAGCAUCAGUUGAUCUAGGCUCUGAUGCUCUUCUUAUAGCCACUGGGGGAACAUCCCGAGCUGUUACAGUGGGUAUAGGUCUGGCUAUAAAACCUGCAUUAAAAGCAGGUGUGAAGGCAGCUAUAGAUUACUUUAAAAAUGAUUCGGAGUAAUAUAAUUUUAAUAUAUAUGGCAGUGGUUCCCAAACUUUUUUGAAUCCCAGCACCCUAGAGUAUCAGAAUUUUCUUCACAGCACCCUCAAUAUGAAAAACAGGAAAAUGUCUCUUCCAGUGUAAUGCUACAUGUUCUAAAGCAGGAUCUUUAUUUAGAGGUUUGUAUAAAAUUAUGACAGUGACUCGGGUUCAUGUACUAAGCAACUUUAGCAACCAGUAGCCAUAAUCACCAGCUUUUCUUUCUGUUCAGUGUUAUAAUCACUUUUACAUUGCAAGAUGGGUCUAAAGUCUUCCUGCUAUUAUCAAUGUUGCUUUUCCAAGGCUUUUGGGUACACAACAAUUUUUGUUUUCCCAGUUUCCCACCUCUAUUUUUGUUAUUUCAGGUCACUGAACUAUUGUUAUUUCUGUCAGUUAUUACAGUUCAUUAAAGUUUUCAUCCAAAUCCAUCCAGUGGAAAUUUACAGAA